Non-coding RNA from Gossypium raimondii (Peruvian cotton), 107 nucleotides. The record is from Rfam. NCBI's taxonomy places the organism in Eukaryota, Viridiplantae, Streptophyta, Magnoliopsida, Malvales, Malvaceae.
AAGCCAUGAUAUGGACAAUUACGUAGGAUGAGCUUAAAGCGUUCCAAUGCCUCAUAUAGUGACUCCCCUUCCAACUUUUGAAAAUUUGUAAUAUCCAUACGAAGAUU